This is a non-coding RNA of Schizosaccharomyces pombe (fission yeast), 206 nucleotides long. The record is from the annotation of a GenBank genome assembly. Lineage: Eukaryota; Fungi; Ascomycota; Schizosaccharomycetes; Schizosaccharomycetales; Schizosaccharomycetaceae.
AGCCAAUGUGGCAGUAGGCAAAACAGUUUUCAGGUCGGAAAAAGUCUUCUGGCCGGUAGAACAUCUAACAAAACAGGUGGACUGAUAUCCUAUUUUGCCGAUUGGCAUAGUUUUGAACUCUGCUUUAAUGUUUGAUCCGAUUUUGUGAAGCUCAUAUUGCAACGUAGUACUUGGACGUGUUCCAGAUUUAUCGGUAGUUAAAGGAA